Non-coding RNA from Sinocyclocheilus rhinocerous, 506 nucleotides. The record is from the annotation of a RefSeq genome assembly. Lineage: Eukaryota; Metazoa; Chordata; Actinopteri; Cypriniformes; Cyprinidae.
GUGAGUGUCGUGGAGUUUGUGUUCAUCUGAGUGUGACGGAGGUUUUUGUACCACGCUUUCACUAGAAUGAAGCACUGUGGUGGACUUUUGGUGGAGGAACUAAACUGACGAUUGCUGGUCCCGCAGUGAAGCCCUCCAUGUCUCUGCUGCCUCCCUCUUCUCUGCAGAUCCCUGGAGACUCAGCCGCACUGCUCUGCCUGCUCAGCUCUUACUCUCCACAGGGGGCGCAGGUGAGCUGGACGCUGGACGGGUCAGAGGUCACCGAGGGGGUUCAGACCAGCGCAGAGAGCGAGCGGGACGGACGCUACAGCCGCAGCAGCGUCCUGAGCCUCAGCAAAGCACGCUGGGAAGACGGCGAGCGCUUCGUCUGCAGAGUAACACAUGACGGAGCUGAUCACGAGACCUCGUUCCUCAAGAGCUCCGAGUGCUGAUGUUUCUCCAGUGAAGAGCAGCAGGAUUCACAGCAGUCACCUGAUUUACAGCUCAAUACUCAAGCAGUCUUUCAA